AGCCUUGGCUAGGCGCGCGCGCGCACGGGGUCGGGCGCUCCCGGGCGGCGGUGGCACCACGUAGCCGCCUCCUUCCACCGCUCGCUUUAUCCCCGCCCCUUCUCGGGCCAACCCCAAGCGCCGCUGACCCCGAACGUCGCUGCGGGGUAGGUAGGGGGUGGGAGGGUGGAGGACCGCAGGCGAGAGGGAGAAGGAAGGGCGCCCGGGGAGCAGGCUGGCAGAGUGACCGGGAUUGAUGAGCGGCGCAGCUCUGGAGGGACGCGGGCGAGAGGGUCGCUCCUCGGGGAGAGGGCUGGAUAGAUGGAAUGUACAGCCAGAGGAUUGGAUGAGGUCAUCGACGGAGAGAAUGCAGAGAGAAUCCUGGGGCUCACCAACAUGAAGAAUUUGGGACAAGAAAGAAGAUCCAGCAGAGAAGACUGAAAGAAGGCAACUAAUGAAAUAGGAGAGAACCUGGAGAGCACAGAGUCUUAGAGGCCAAGAAAGUGGUUUAAUAUAAUCCGUAUCAAAGCAUUUGUGGUUUAUUUUUGUUAACUGACAAAAGGAUUCUAAAACAUACCUGAAAAGUAUAAUUCACACCUAGGAUAAUGGAUCAUUCUGUCACAUUGUUCCUUUUUCACAGCUGAUAUGAACAUGAUAUUUUCAUGACUUUGUAAAAUAAAAAUGG
Molecule: long non-coding RNA, 664 nt
Filed under: Homo sapiens (human)
Lineage: Eukaryota; Metazoa; Chordata; Mammalia; Primates; Hominidae
Description: HSALNT0321055
Source: RNAcentral